GAGUUUGAUCAUGGCUCAGAGUGAACGCUGGCGGCAGGCCUAAUACAUGCAAGUCGAACGGCAGCACAGCAGAGCUUGCUCUGUGGGUGGCGAGUGGCGGACGGGUGAGGAAUACGUGGGAAUCUGCCCAGUCGUGGGGGAUAACGUAGGGAAACUUACGCUAAUACCGCAUGCGCCCUUCGGGGGAAAGCCGGGGACCUUCGGGCCUGGCGCGAUUGGAUGAGCCCACGUCGGAUUAGCUAGUUGGCGGGUAAAGGCCCACCAAGGCGACGAUCCGUAGCUGGUCUGAGAGGAUGAUCAGCCACACUGGAACUGAGACACGGUCCAGACUCCUACGGGAGGCAGCAGUAGGGAAUAUUGGACAAUGGGCGCAAGCCUGAUCCAGCCAUGCCGCGUGAGUGAAGAAGGCCCUCGGGUUGUAAAGCUCUUUUGUCCGGAAAGAAAAGCGCCGGGUUAAUACCCUGGUGUCCUGACGGUACCGGAAGAAUAAGCACCGGCUAACUUCGUG
This 508-nucleotide ribosomal RNA is filed under the name uncultured bacterium. RNAcentral describes it as "bacterial SSU rRNA". It matches the Rfam family "Bacterial small subunit ribosomal RNA", at positions 9 to 507 of the family's 1533-position model. The record is from RNAcentral.